GAUGAACGCUGGCGGCGUGCCUAAUACAUGCAAGUCGAGCGAACAGACGAGGAGCUUGCUCCUCUGACGUUAGCGGCGGACGGGUGAGUAACACGUGGAUAACCUACCUAUAAGACUGGGAUAACUUCGGGAAACCGGAGCUAAUACCGGAUAAUAUAUUGAACCGCAUGGUUCAAUAGUGAAAGACGGUUUUGCUGUCACUUCUAGAUGGAUCCGCGCCGCAUUAGCUAGUUGGUAAGGUAACGGCUUACCAAGGCAACGAUGCGUAGCCGACCUGAGAGGGUGAUCGGCCACACUGGAACUGAGACACGGUCCAGACUCCUACGGGAGGCAGCAGUAGGGAAUCUUCCGCAAUGGGCGAAAGCCUGACGGAGCAACGCCGCGUGAGUGAUGAAGGUCUUCGGAUCGUAAAACUCUGUUAUUAGGGAAGAACAAAUGAGUAAGUAACUAUGCACGUCUUGACGGUACCUAAUCAGAAAGCCACGGCUAACUACGUG
This 497-nucleotide ribosomal RNA is filed under the name uncultured bacterium. RNAcentral's name for it is "partial 16S ribosomal RNA". It matches the Rfam family "Bacterial small subunit ribosomal RNA", at positions 28 to 507 of the family's 1533-position model. The record is from RNAcentral.